Long non-coding RNA from Medicago truncatula (barrel medic), 4248 nucleotides. RefSeq lists it as uncharacterized. Lineage: Eukaryota; Viridiplantae; Streptophyta; Magnoliopsida; Fabales; Fabaceae. The transcript has 5 exons. The record is from RefSeq and is a predicted model, not a curated record.
UGACCAACUUAAUUUCAUUCUUAGUCCCUUCAAAUUCCAACAGAAGGAUGCAUUUGAUUAAAACCUUGAAAUUCGAGGUACCAUGUUGAUCUGGAAUAUCGAUAAUCUGAGUAUUGUCUAUCGUUGGUUCGUGUUGGGGGAAUGUUUAUUGCUGCCAAGGGUCAUGAUCCUGAGGAUGAAGUUAAGAAAGCUGAAAACGCCAUCAAGAAAAUGGGGGCAUCAUUAUUGCAAGUAUGCUCAGUGGAAUCGCAAAGCCCAUAUGGUCAGCGUACUGCUAUCAUAUGUUUGAAGGAUCGUCCCACCCCAAUGAAAUAUCCCCGUUUUCCUGGGACACCAACUAAAGAACCAUUGUAAGAUGGAUGCUCACUCUAUUGGCUGUAUUCUGCUGUUCUUCUGACCCAAUCCUAUCACUUUUUUUGAACCAUUGUCUGAGAGAAGGACCCAUAUGAUGUGCACCAUCGACCUGAUUUUCCGCUCAUAAUAUAGGACAGAUUUUUGAUAUAAUUUAUUAUAAUUGUAGUGUUCUUUUUUUAAUAGUAAGGGUCCUAUGAGUUAUGACUUUGUUAUAGUAUAUCUUGUGAUGCUACUCUACUUGCACACAUACAAAGCAUUGCAAUAUGCCUUGUCCUAUAUAUAAAAAAAAGUUGGGCCAACAAUAGUUGAUGUAUCUACUUCAAAACUUAGACGACAUACAUCAACUUUUGUUGAGCAAACUUUUUCUUAUAUGUAGGACCAAAAGGACUUUUGGUGAUUACGAUUAUGAUUUACUUUGAGCCUUUGGAGACAUUGAUGAACCUGAAGGCAAUGCAGAAAUCUCUUGUGACAAUGACAAGGGAAAUAACUAGAUAUAUAAUUGUAGAUGUCCGUUGCCAUAUGUGUGAUGGCAAUUAUCCUAGAAGUAUGUUUUAAAAGUUGGACCUUCAAUCUUUGUUUACUUGUUAUUAUUAUCUUGGAUUUGCAAUAAGUUCAGAUUACUCUACUCAAUAAAUUUGAUAUUUUCUCAACUCCCUGGCUGAUUAUGCAUAUCUUGUUCUUUCCUGUGAUUUAUUAUUAUUAAGGGUAGUAGAUUGACUUUGAAAUUCAUGGAGAAAUUAAGAAAAUCAUACUACUCGUAUAAUUAGGGAACUAUGCUCCAAUGUUUACUUUCAUAUCAUAUCUUUCAGUUGGUUCUCCAUUCGUGAUUGUCCAAUAUGUGGAUUUGAGACAGAUUUAUAUAUCGAUAUAUAGAUAGAUAGAUACAUUUAUAAGUGCUAUGUUAAAAGCCAUAUUGCAAGUCAAAAUCAUAUCAGUGCUCAAAAUGCAAAGAGCCUAAGCCUGAGUGAAGGAUAGGGCAAAGAUGAAAAUUCCACCCAAUAAAUUAGGAGAUAACUAGUUAUCUGAGAGCAAUUGUGGACAUGAAAGUUCAGUUGGAGCUCUCAUCCCAUGUGUUGGGAGCAUGUACAAUAUGUCCCAGUGUUCCUACCAAGAAUGUGGAGUUGGAGUCCAACAAGCACAAAAAGUGGAACUCAUGCUAAAAAAAUUAGAGAAAGAGAACAUAAGAGAUCCUCCUUGCUGCUUUUCUGGUUUGUGCCUUGGUAGUUUGAUUGCAACAGCAGAAGGUGUCAUGUUGGUUUGAUGGCUGGUUUGUUUCAUUGAAGUAGCUCACUAAGUGGAGUGUAGUUUAUCAUUGCCAAUUUUAUUGCAGAGUAGCAGUUUCAUUAUUUAUGUGUUGCUUUAUUUUAUUAUUUUUUAACUUUGAUUGUAUCUGUACUGUUAUAUUCGGCUUUAAAGAAGGCAAUGUAUGAGUGCAUAAUUCAAAUAUUUGAUUCAAUUGACUUGGAUCAAUCAUGAUUCAUUUAAAUCACCAAUAUGCGACUCAGGUAUGCAAUACCAACUUUUAUAGUAGUAAGUUGUUCUUGAUUUGUUUGUAUGAAGCCAGAAGUAUGUAUGUAAUAAAACGAUAAGAGUGAAACAAUUAAAGAUAUUGGUCACAUACCUAGUUUCUUGGUAAUAAGCGUUGAGGUUGAGGUUCUUCAACAGGCUUCAUCUAAGAACUUAAAAAAUUGUUUUGGAUUUCCAAGAGCUACUUGAAGCAUGUUUUGUGAUACAGUUCAUCAGUGUGAAAGGAGUUAGAUAAAUAAACUAAACAUUGAUAUUUAAUAGUAAUGGAUAGCAAGUUCAAGUAAGAUCAACAACCUAAUUAUAUACUUAACGAUAGAUAGCAAAUAGACUUUUUGUUCUAGUGAGCUAAUCAAAAUCAACAGCACAGACCAAACUUGUAUAUGUAAAUAUUCUUACUAUGGUGAUUGUGCAAUGCUUUCCAUCCACUCUCAACCUAACAUGUGUUAUUCACACACAAACAACAAUAAUAUGAGCUAAAAAAUUAAGCACUGACACAAUUGAGGGAAGGGAAUUUGUGUUUAAAUUGAUGAUCAUAGUCGCUUGAAUUGGCCGGAACCUUCUUCUAAGAUUGUAUUUAUGUUGAUAACCAUGCUAGUAUAUGGUUUCUGUUGACUCAUCCUACAAUGAAAUGAAAAUGGUACAAACACCUAAAUACAAGAGUAAGGUGGUGGUAGUGUACCUCUUCAAAAAAGGAACGUAAUCUUGAUCCUAUUGUUUAGUAAAAAGAAAACAAAAAGCUGACAUUUUAUUAUCAGAAAAUAAAAAACAUAUGCACUCUGGCAUAAUAACACCUUUGCUUGCCGGUAAUUUCUUAGAAAUAUGCACCAUGAUAUCGUAAACAUGUUGUAAAGCAAUAAUCAUUAAAUAAACAAAACAAGACUUUCAUUAGAGCCAUAUAGUCAAAACAAGUACAAUUGAUGGCAGGGUUUGGGACAUUUCAGUUCACAACCAAGUCCUAGAAUUCAUGUGCUGCAGUAUUAUACGAACUAACAACCUUCAUUCUGAUUAUUGCACGUUUUGUGAGAAGCAACAUAUUGGUUCAAUAUCAAUGGCGAAUCCGAGUUUGAGAAAGUUGAAACGGAAACUCAAACAUAUCCUCAGUGGCAGUGGUAUUAUUAUGCUGUUCUUUCGGAUUGAUUUCAUUUGUUCAAUUUAUUAGUAACUUUUCAUCACUAGUUUGGAUUGUGUUGAAUUAUUAUUAUUAUUAUGAUAGAUGCAAAAAAUAAAAAAUAAAAAAAAUUAGAGGAUGAAUUCGAGGACUGCUCCAUGCUCGAGUAUAUCCCCAGGGCCAGGGGUAUUAUUGUUGUUUCUGAUUUCAUUUGUUUUAGUUUAGAUGGUUUAAUUAUGAUUUUUGAAUGUGUUGUUGUUGUUGGUAUUUAUUCAUUGAUUGAUUUAUGAUGCAGUAAAAGGAUAAGAUUACGAGUACACGGACAUUUCAUACUUGAGAAAAUACUUAACCGAUGAUGAUUUCAUGGAGAUUUCAAAAUUGAGCAAAUACCUGACCUCUGCUGAUUUCAACUAUGUCCACGAAAGUAUUACUACUCUUCUAUCUUGUGGAAACAUAGUCGGAAUCAGAGAAGAAAAAACAGUGCAUGGGGUAUUUAAGUAGUUGCAAUGAAUUUGUCAAGAUAAAUCAUUGGUGUUGCAAGAAUGGAGACAUAUUGCAGACUAGUCAAUCGCUGAUCACAAUUAAGAGGAUAAUGUGGAUGGUGAGAGUAGUGAGAACACUGAUAAUAGUGGAUAAUGACACAUUGGUAAGAAUGUAGUUGAUAGAGAUGAACUGCACUCAUGCGAUGAUUGGCUUCUUUUGAGAGAACCAACUUUUCUCACCAUCUUUUACUUCACCUCUCAUGAUGAAAUCUUUCAUGCACUUGACUGGCUUCAAUAGAAAAACCUCUGCUCCUUCCUCCAGGCACCUGCAAAUCAGUGAGAGUAAAACUAUUAAGAAGCAUGACUAGAAAUAUUGGCCACAUAAAAGCAUAAACACUUAAUGCAGCUAUCAGUUUUUCGGAGGAAAAGACAAAGAAUCUGAGGACAUUUCAACCUUGGAGGAGCUUAGCUCUGAUGAGCAGAAGUGGAAAUCAACAGAUGCAAAUGAUGAUUCUGAAGAUGAUUAGUUUGAUGAUGAUUCUGAAGGCAACACCAAAAACUCUUGCGACAUUGACAAGCGAAAAAUGUCACUUGAUGUAUAAUAGUAAUAGUAGAUGUUCGUUUCCCACUUGUAUGAUGGCAAUUAUCAUAUAGUAGGCUAGUAUUAGGAGUCUGACCUUAAUUCACUUUGUUUGCUUGUUAUUUGUAUCUUGGAUUCGAAACAAGUUUGGAUUGUUUUGCCCAAUAAAUGCUUUUUGUUCUUCUUUCCCUCGCUUA